Molecule: ribosomal RNA, 465 nt
Filed under: Vreelandella stevensii
Lineage: Bacteria; Pseudomonadati; Pseudomonadota; Gammaproteobacteria; Oceanospirillales; Halomonadaceae
Description: partial 16S ribosomal RNA
Rfam family: Bacterial small subunit ribosomal RNA
Source: RNAcentral
CCUACGGGAGGCUGCAGUGGGGAAUAUUGGACAAUGGGGGCAACCCUGAUCCAGCCAUGCCGCGUGUGUGAAGAAGGCCCUCGGGUUGUAAAGCACUUUCAGUGAGGAAGAACGCCUGGUGGUUAAUACCCAUCAGGAAAGACAUCACUCACAGAAGAAGCACCGGCUAACUCCGUGCCAGCUGCCGCGGUAAUACGGAGGGUGCGAGCGUUAAUCGGAAUUACUGGGCGUAAAGCGCGCGUAGGUGGCUUGAUAAGCCGGUUGUGAAAGCCCCGGGCUCAACCUGGGAACGGCAUCCGGAACUGUCAAGCUAGAGUGCAGGAGAGGAAGGUAGAAUUCCCGGUGUAGCGGUGAAAUGCGUAGAGAUCGGGAGGAAUACCAGUGGCGAAGGCGGCCUUCUGGACUGACACUGACACUGAGGUGCGAAAGCGUGGGUAGCAAACAGGAUUAGAUACCCUAGUAGUC